GACGGAGGAUGCAAGUGUUAUCCGGAAUCACUGGGCGUAAAGCGUCUGUAGGUGGUUUAAUAAGUCAACUGUUAAAUCUUGAGGCUCAACCUCAAAAUCGCAGUCGAAACUAUUAGGCUAGAGUAUAGUAGGGGUAAAGCGAAUUUCCAGUGGAGCGGUGAAAUGCGUAGAGAUUGGAAAGAACACCGAUGGCGAAGGCACUUUACUGGGCUAUUACUAACACUCAGAGACGAAAGCUAGGGUAGCAAAUGGG
RNAcentral lists this ribosomal RNA (253 nucleotides) under uncultured bacterium. RNAcentral's name for it is "partial 16S ribosomal RNA". It matches the Rfam family "Bacterial small subunit ribosomal RNA", at positions 524 to 776 of the family's 1533-position model. The record is from RNAcentral.